Molecule: transfer RNA, 39 nt
Filed under: Pseudoroegneria spicata
Lineage: Eukaryota; Viridiplantae; Streptophyta; Magnoliopsida; Poales; Poaceae
Description: partial tRNA-Val
Source: RNAcentral
AGGGCUAUAGCUCAGKUCGGUAGAGCAACUCGUUUACAC